Molecule: long non-coding RNA, 351 nt
Filed under: Homo sapiens (human)
Lineage: Eukaryota; Metazoa; Chordata; Mammalia; Primates; Hominidae
Description: HSALNT0151547
Source: RNAcentral
UUGCCUGGGCACGAAACCUGGAUUUUUUGCGAUUGGUACAAAACCUGGAUCAACCGUUUCCCGGUUUCCUAGUUGUUGCCUUAAGCUUCUCACACACAAGGUAGUUUCAUACCGUUCUCAUAACCUAAAUUGUCAUCGCAUAAACUGUUUCAGCUCCUACAGCUCUGGACAGGCUGCUUUUCAUUUUGUUUUAAAACAUGAAUCCUACACUCAUCCUUGCUGCCUUUUGCCUGGGAAUUGCCUCAGCUACUCUAACAUUUGAUCACAGUUUAGAGGCACAGUGGACCAAGUGGAAGGCGAUGCACAACAGAUUAUACGGCAUGAUGAAGAAGGAUGGAGGAGAGCAGUGUG